UUAUUUUCAAAAUGGAUGAAUGGUAACAGAAGAAAAACAAAUAACAACUUGGGCACAGAAGAGAAAUAGAGUAGUAAUUAGGAAUAAAGGAAAUGAUAUUAAGUCCUAAAAAGCAAUUUGGUUUUGCUUAAGUUAAAAAUUAGGCCUUUAGUUACCUUCCCAUAUUAAAUAUACAUGGAAGAAUUAACUCAAGAAUAAUUCUCAUAUAAAAACUGUGAAAAACAAUAAAUAUGAAUCUUAGAACCAUUCGAAUAUAUAUAUAUAUAUACGAUAAAUUUCUAUUUUUAUGCAGGUGAAGUUAGCUGAGGAUAUGGUCACUAGGAGCAGUUUCACCUUAAACAACCAAUUUCUUCAGACUCAAAUGAGCACACUACCACAACUCAGCACGACUAAUCUGCGCGGCAUAGCACACGUCUCGCCGACCAUCACUGUCCAUGGAAAUGAUGCUUCAUAUGGUGGUGUCACAAUUGGUGGACAGAACUCAACUCAUGGGCUUGGAAACUUGGAUAUACCUUACAACAAUGUCAACAAUGGAGUUUUUAGUGAUGCUGCUAGUUCUGUGACUAUGUGGCAGUAAGGGUUUGCACUUCACUAGAGACUUUGUAGAAUCCAAUUAGGUCCAACUUUAUAUUGUAUGUUGUGUCUAAUUAGUUUAGUAGGUUAUAAUGUUAUAUUAUUGUUUCUCCUCUUUAACUAUGUUGAAAUAGUUUCUUUUCGUUGUUGUGUUUUGUUUUGUAUAAAAGGACUUGGUUUGCUUAUGACAAAAUUACUAUCUUGAUUUGGUUUUAAUUUAGUGAUGUUUGAUAAUCAAUUUUAGACUUGCAUCAUUGACAUGCAUAUUAGUUUGAAUUUACUUUUUUUGAAAGGAAUCAAUAACUUUCAAGAUAAAUUGAUUAAAAGUGGAAGACACAUUAUUUAUCCGAUAGUUUAUUUUCUUUUGAAGAUAGCAUUGCAACUAUAAAAAUAACUUUUUCAACUAUGAAUAUUGUGAAAAGUAGGUUGAGCAAUCGAAUAAGAGAUGUAUGAAUGAAUGAUUAUCUAAUACUUAUAUCUAGCAAGAAAUGUUCAACAACAUUGAUAGUAAAUUGAUCAUUUAAUGAUUUCAAAAUGUAAAAUCACAUAUAAAUUAAAUAUGAAAUAUAUAAUUUAUUUGAUUAAAUAUAUUUAAUUUUUUUAUUGUUGACAUUAAUUUUUUCAUCUUUUUAUAAUUAAUGAUAUAUAUUAUUUCAAUUUUUAACAUAUGUUGUAUAUUCUGUCCAUGGGUCCUAAAUUCGUCACUAUUCGUACCUUGCCCAUAAAAACGAAAGUAUUGUUUUCAAUAUUUGAAUUCAUGACCUUAGGCUUCGAUGCAAGCAAUGCAUGUUAUCCAUGAAAAUCAAACUUUCUCCCACAUAAAUGGACCAUUAGAUAUAUGUUUGUCAUGAGAAACAUGAUGCAAAGUGAAAACCUGAGAACUUAGAAUGAGGGGUUACCACAUUUAAUUAAUGUCACACCUAAGAAACAUGAUGCAAAGUGGAAGCUUGGCUGCACCAACUAUCCAAAGUCUUAGAAAGCUUUGGAACCCGAUUGGGGGGAAUUUGCGAAUGACUUAUAUGUCAUCAACCAUAUAGUUUCAAGAGGAAUAAAAUAAAGGAAGUCUAAUUGCAUUGUUUUCAAUUUGUUAAAUCAAAUACAUGGAAUCUACCAUCCAUCUUUGAAAAGUAAAUAAAUAAUUAUAAAUGGAUAUAUGUUAUUAAUGGGUCUUAAUAUUUAUCAAUAAAAUGUUGGUCUAGUGGUAUAAAACUUUACUAGAUUUCCAAGGUCGAGAGUUCGAUUCCUGAUAACGACACUUGUUAAGAAUAACAAUCAUGAUCAUCGAAAAGAAUUAGUUCCUUACCAAAAAAAGAAAGGUGUUGAAAUAGCAUUAGUAGUAGAGUCCUAAUAUUUUUGUCACAAUGUAAAUGGACCUAAUUUCAAGGGGUAUUUUUUAUUAUUAUAAAAUAGCUAGUGCAAUUUCGUGUUGUUCCACUUGUGGCCAACCACACUUUUGAGUAAAGAAAGCAUCUUUUAAAAAGUAAAUAGGUGUGAAUGAAAGCCUGAAAAAAGAUCUUAUGGUACUAUUAUAUACACAAAUUGAUGUACAAAAGUCAAGCUUAUACAUCCUUUGGUAAUUGCAGGAUGCAGUGACAGCAUUUUCAACCUGUGGAGAUACCAUUAUCUGUUCCCAAAAUGUCACUCCCAUGAAUUCAACCAUCUCUGCUACUAUUGAUUCUCAAGCAUCAAAUUGUGGCACUGGUAAUGAUUUUAGCACAACAUGUUUAUAUAUUAUAUAAUUAUUCCUUGCAUGCCAUUAUGCUAAGUCCCCUUCAUCUUUAGUUGAUGAAGUUUUAACAUUUUGGAUUGAAUUUCAAACUGGCCAGUUGGAAGCCCAGUUUCAGCUAAUAAACCAAACAGCAGUGAGAAUCAAACCAAAGGAGCAACAAGUGGUUCAUCUGAGCAGUGUGAUGAAGAUGAUGAAUAUGGUCCUUGUGAACAAAGCACUAAUCCUCUUGAUGUGAAGCGCCAUAGAAGGUAUAUAUCUCAAAUCAAAAAACUAAGAAAGAUAGGACAUAAAAUAAACUCAGAUGGUUUCAUCCAUUAACAUGAAACUUCACAUGAUAAUGGUUUCAGGAAGGUUUCUAAUCGAGAGUCUGCAAGGAGAUCAAGAAGAAGAAAACAAGCUGAGUUGGGUGACCUUGAGUUGCAGGUAACUAAUGUUUUCGGAGUACAUUUGUUAAGUCUUUGUUGUAAGAAACUGAAGCUUAAUUGUUCAGUGGACUGUUGAGGCUCAAAAGAAAAGGGGAAUAAUACAUAACAAUGUUAAUAUUAAAAUUCUUAGAGCUAAGCUAUCAUUGUGAACUGAAAAGCAAAAGUUAAUGGAUUUGUAUAUACAGCAUGCAAAAUAUACAUAUAGAUUCUGAGUGAAGUGUUAUAGUGUUCAGAUAACUGGAUUCUAAAAUAGAAAAUAUGGUAGAGAGCAGAAUUUUUAGAAUAGGGUGUUUUACUCAUGCAUGAAUGAGUCAUGAGUGGUCUAUAUCACUUUAUUUCAUCAACAAGCACCAUUAUAUUAUGUGAAAAUUCUGACUUAUUUUUCUCUCAAUCUAGUUUUUUUAAAUUUAAGUAUCAAUCUUUAGUAUGAAUUUAUGAUACAGAAAAGGCAAUAAUUUUCUUUUCCUUUGAAUUUUACUUUUUCAGGUUGACAAAAUGAAACUGGAAAAUGCAACCCUAUACAAGCAGUUUACGCAUGCAAGUCAACAAUUCCGUGAUGCUGAUACAAAUAACCGAGUGCUAAAAUCAGAUGUAGAAGCUUUGAGAGCUAAGGUAUCAGAAUCUUUUACAAAUAUUGUUCUAGUUAACAUGUUACCAUAAUGUUGGAGAAAGUGAAAAGCUGUUUUACUUAUUUUCAAAAUGGAUGAAUGGUAACAGAAGAAAAACAAAUAACAACUUGGGCACAGAAGAGAAAUAGAGUAGUAAUUAGGAAUAAAGGAAAUGAUAUUAAGUCCUAAAAAGCAAUUUGGUUUUGCUUAAGUUAAAAAUUAGGCCUUUAGUUACCUUCCCAUAUUAAAUAUACAUGGAAGAAUUAACUCAAGAAUAAUUCUCAUAUAAAAACUGUGAAAAACAAUAAAUAUGAAUCUUAGAACCAUUCGAAUAUAUAUAUAUAUAUACGAUAAAUUUCUAUUUUUAUGCAGGUGAAGUUAGCUGAGGAUAUGGUCACUAGGAGCAGUUUCACCUUAAACAACCAAUUUCUUCAGACUCAAAUGAGCACACUACCACAACUCAGCACGACUAAUCUGCGCGGCAUAGCACACGUCUCGCCGA
RNAcentral lists this long non-coding RNA (3837 nucleotides) under Lupinus angustifolius (narrow-leaved blue lupine). RNAcentral's name for it is "long non-coding RNA (LANG_LNC000523)". Lineage: Eukaryota; Viridiplantae; Streptophyta; Magnoliopsida; Fabales; Fabaceae. The record is from RNAcentral.